UGAAAUACAUAAAUCACCUUUAUGCGUAUGCAUAAAGGAUUCUAUUUACGCAUUAUUUCUUUGGGAGUUAAAGGGUACGUUCCCUUUGAGAAGAGCUACCUCCUAGUCUCACUAGAGUUGUUCUUCUAAUUGAAGGUUAUCAUCAUAUGAGAAACUUCCUAGCAACUUUUGUCUAUUAUUAGGGAUUAAUAUAAUCAAAUUAUAUAUUGAAAUCUAUCAAUAUAGAUUUCCAUCCCAUGUAUAUAGACUAUGUCUCCCAUAUACAUUUUAUCGUUAUAGAAUGCUUAAAGUCAUAACUUUAACGAAGAAAUAUUCUUUUCAUU
This 323-nucleotide long non-coding RNA is filed under the name Malus domestica (apple). RNAcentral describes it as "long non-coding RNA (MDOM_LNC003701)". Lineage: Eukaryota; Viridiplantae; Streptophyta; Magnoliopsida; Rosales; Rosaceae. The record is from RNAcentral.